This 327-nucleotide ribosomal RNA is filed under the name uncultured eukaryote. RNAcentral's name for it is "partial 18S ribosomal RNA". It matches the Rfam family "Eukaryotic small subunit ribosomal RNA", at positions 1470 to 1796 of the family's 1831-position model. The record is from RNAcentral.
CCCUUAGAUGUUCUGGGCUGCACGCGCGCUACACUGAUGCGCUCAACGAGUUUUAACCUUGCCUGGAAAGGUUGGGUAAUCUUUUUAAAACGCAUCGUGAUGGGGAUAGAUUAUUGCAAUUAUUAAUCUUCAACGAGGAAUGCCUAGUAGGCGCAAGUCAUCAGCUUGCGUCGAUUACGUCCCUGCCCUUUGUACACACCGCCCGUCGCUCCUACCGAUUGGGUGUGCUGGUGAAAUGUUCGGAUCGGCCGUUUGUCGCGGUUUCCGCGUCAUGUGGCUGAGAAGUUCAUUAAACCCUCCCACCGAGAGGAAGGAGAAGUCGUAACA